Molecule: long non-coding RNA, 618 nt
Filed under: Chinchilla lanigera (long-tailed chinchilla)
Lineage: Eukaryota; Metazoa; Chordata; Mammalia; Rodentia; Chinchillidae
Description: lncRNA (ENSCLAG00000026056.1)
Source: RNAcentral
UAAAAGAGGGCAAAAAUUGCUCUGAUAUUAGUUCUUACAUAUACAUACAAUAUAUUUUAUAAUGUUAUUGCAUAAAAACUGGCAAAACUGUUUUUAUUUUCCUGAUAUUUGGAAUGCUUAUAUUUUGCAGUUAAACUGGUUUGUUUUUUAAUAAUUUUGAUAUAUUAUUUCUAACACAUAAGUUAAUACAGGAGAUUUCAGCUGUUUUCUCAAAUAACACAUUGUCUUAUGUGGAUUUCUUUCACUAAUAAGAAAAGAAGCACAUUGGAUAUAAGCACCAGUGUAUACCUGUUUUCUCUGAUUAGUUUUGAAGUGCUUAAUUUGCAACAUUACCAUUGUUCUAGGCUUCCUGGUCAUUCUUGUGUCUCUUCAUCAGCUUUCAGCCUGUGCACCGCCAUGGUGGAUGCAAAUAAACAGCACAAGACAAAGAGUAGAACAAUGGAAGGCUGUGUGCGGUCAAGGCAGCAGAGGGCCAUUAGGAACAAGUGGGUCUUUCUGGGAUUAUUUGGAUGGAAGCUGACUUUGAAAAGGCUAAGCUGUCCCAAGGAGGCCCACCAGCUCUGUAGGGACACUGGCCGUGGUUCAUCUUGCAGAAAUGUUCAGCAAAAGCCCCGAUGA